Molecule: transfer RNA, 87 nt
Filed under: Massiliimalia timonensis
Lineage: Bacteria; Bacillati; Bacillota; Clostridia; Eubacteriales; Oscillospiraceae
Also listed under: 2 other names
Description: Massilimaliae timonensis tRNA-Leu
Rfam family: tRNA
About the family: Transfer RNA (tRNA) molecules are approximately 80 nucleotides in length.
Source: RNAcentral
GCGAGGGUGGCGGAAUUGGCAGACGCGCUAGAUUCAGGUUCUAGUGGGAGCAAUCCUGUGUGGGUUCAAGUCCCAUCCUUCGCACCA